RNAcentral lists this transfer RNA (68 nucleotides) under Melanoides tuberculata. RNAcentral's name for it is "tRNA-Ser". The record is from RNAcentral. Lineage: Eukaryota; Metazoa; Mollusca; Gastropoda; Thiaridae.
AGAAGGAACAACCUAGUGAAGCAGGGCUGCUAACUUUGCUUUGGGUAAAUAGGCCUACCCUCUUUCUU